Long non-coding RNA from Triticum dicoccoides, 339 nucleotides. RefSeq lists it as uncharacterized. Lineage: Eukaryota; Viridiplantae; Streptophyta; Magnoliopsida; Poales; Poaceae. The record is from RefSeq and is a predicted model, not a curated record. The transcript has 4 exons.
GACUCCAACAAUCCCAAGCGCCCCCCUGAGUGCUGUCUUAGUCCUCAUGGACAACUUCAGGAACGUCUCCAACAUCAAGCAGGUCUCCAUGGUUUGCAAGGUCGGUGGUGAGAAGUGGAAGUAUCUUGAGUGAUGUUGGGGACGUGACAAGCUAAGCAGCAGCAAGGGGAGGGGGUCUCUGAAAUGUCGCCGCUGUUGCUCAUUGCUAGUAUCACCGAUUGAUGAUGGAUGGUUGCUGUUAGUUUAGCUCCUUGGUAGUACCUCCUUGUCUUUCUGGCGGCUGCUGCCGCUGCUGGUAGAAAUGGUAGCUACAGUCCUAUGUACUUCAUGUGCUCGGAU